This 23-nucleotide non-coding RNA is filed under the name Arabidopsis thaliana (thale cress). The record is from RNAcentral. Lineage: Eukaryota; Viridiplantae; Streptophyta; Magnoliopsida; Brassicales; Brassicaceae.
AACGGGCGGGCCUUUACCUAGUA